GGCGACGUAGCCAAGUGGUAAGGCAGAGCUCUGCAAAAGCUCCAUUCCCCAGUUCGAAUCUGGGCGUCGCCUCCA
This 75-nucleotide transfer RNA is filed under the name Candidatus Meridianibacter frigidus. RNAcentral's name for it is "tRNA-Cys". It matches the Rfam family "tRNA". From Rfam's summary of the family: Transfer RNA (tRNA) molecules are approximately 80 nucleotides in length. Their secondary structure includes four short double-helical elements and three loops (D, anti-codon, and T loops). RNAcentral also lists the same sequence under 1 other name. The record is from RNAcentral. Lineage: Bacteria; Bacillati; Vulcanimicrobiota; Vulcanimicrobiia; Vulcanimicrobiales; Vulcanimicrobiaceae.